AUUGAACGCUAGCGGGAUGCUUUACACAUGCAAGUCGAACGGCAGCGCGGACUUCGGUCUGGCGGCGAGUGGCGAACGGGUGAGUAAUGUAUCGGAACGUGCCCAGUAGCUGGGGAUAACUACGCGAAAGCGUAGCUAAUACCGCAUACGCCCUACGGGGGAAAGCAGGGGAUCGUAAGACCUUGCACUAUUGGAGCGGCCGAUAUCGGAUUAGCUAGUUGGUGAGGUAACGGCUCACCAAGGCGACGAUCCGUAGCUGGUUUGAGAGGACGACCAGCCACACUGGGACUGAGACACGGCCCAGACUCCUACGGGAGGCAGCAGUGGGGAAUUUUGGACAAUGGGGGCAACCCUGAUCCAGCCAUCCCGCGUGUGCGAUGAAGGCCUUCGGGUUGUAAAGCACUUUUGGCAGGAAAGAAACGUCGCGGGCUAAUACCCCGUGGAACUGACGGUACCUGCAGAAUAAGCACCGGCUAACUACGUG
This 484-nucleotide ribosomal RNA is filed under the name uncultured bacterium. Its description in RNAcentral is "partial 16S ribosomal RNA". It matches the Rfam family "Bacterial small subunit ribosomal RNA", at positions 30 to 507 of the family's 1533-position model. The record is from RNAcentral.